AAAGGCCAAUCAAACUGAGAAAUAGCUCGUACUCCCCGAAAUGCAUUUAGGUGCAGCGUCAGAGUCGAGAGUUAUAGAGGUAGAGCUACUGAUUGGAUGCGAGGGCUUCGCCGCCUAUCAAAUCCAGACAAACUCCGAAUGCUAUAACUUAUAUCUGGCAGUGAGCCCGUGGGUGCUAAGGUCCACGGACGAGAGGGAAAGAACCCAGACCAUCAGCUAAGGUCCCCAAGUGUAUGUUAAGUUGAACAAACGAGGUGAGAUUGCUUAGACAGCUAGGAUGUUGGCUUGGAAGCAGCCAUUCAUUUAAAGAGUGCGUAACAGCUCACUAGUCGAGCGAUCUUGCGUGGAUGAUAAUCGGGCAUAAAUAUACCACCGAAGCUAUGGAUUUAGAAUUUAUUCUAACUGGUAGGGGAGCAUUCUAACGGCGCAGAAGCAGUAUGGUAAUGUAUUGUGGAGCUUUUAGAAAAGCAAAUGUAGGCAUAAGUAACGAUAAUGCGGGCGAGAAACCCGCACGCCAAUAGACUAAGGUUUCCUGAUCAACGCUAAUCGGAUCAGGGUAAGUCGGGACCUAAGGGGUAGCCGAAGGGCGAACUCGAUGGACAACCGGUUAAUAUUCCGGUACUUUCUAUAACUGCGAUGGGGUGACGAAGAGAUGACAAUGCCGCGAACUGACGGAAUAGUUCGUUGAAGGACGUAUGUGAUGAGACCGGUAGGCAAAUCCGCUGGUUGAGCUGAAAUCUGAUAGUACCGCAAUGCUACGGCAGCGCGGAUAGUGCAUGUAAUUUUACUUCCAAGAAAAACCUCUAAGCUUCAGGUUAUAGAGACCCGUACCGCAAACGGACACACGUAGUCAAGUAGAGAAUACUAAGGCGCUCGAGUGAUUCAUGGCUAAGGAACUCGGCAAAAUGGUCCUGUAACUUCGGGAGAAAGGACGCCUCUUUCGGGAGGCCGCAGUGAAAUGGCCCAGGCGACUGUUUACCAAAAACACAUGGCUUUGCAAAAUCGAAAGAUGAAGUAUAAGGCCUGACACCUGCCCGGUGCUGGAAGGUUAAGUGGAGGGCUUAGCGCAAGCGAAGGUCUGAAAUGAAGCCCCAGUAAACGGCGGCCGUAACUAUAACGGUCCUAAGGUAGCGAAAUUCCUUGUCGGGUAAGUUCCGACCUGCACGAAUGGUGUAACGAUCUGGCACUGUCUCAGCCAUGAGCUCGGUGAAAUUGUAGUAUCGGUGAAGAUGCCGAUUACCCGCAACGGGACGGAAAGACCCCGUGAACCUUUACUGCAGCUUCACAUUGAUUUUGGGUAAGUGAUGUGUAGGAUAGGACGGAGACUAUGAAGCAGCGCCGCCAGGUGUUGUGGAGUCAUCCUUGAAAUACGUCCCUUUGCUUAUCUGAAGUCUAACGUCUAACGACGGACAGUGUGUGGUGGGUAGUUUGACUGGGGUGGUCGCCUCCAAAAGAGUAACGGAGGCUUCUAAAGGUACCCUCAAGACGUUUGGUAAUCGUCUGAAGAGUGCAAUGGCACAAGGGUGCUUGACUGUGAGACAUACAGGUCGAGCAGGUACGAAAGUAGAGCAUAGUGAUCCGGUGGUUCCGUAUGGAAGGGCCAUCGCUCAAAGGAUAAAAGGUACUCCGGGGAUAACAGGCUGAUCGCUCCCAAGAGCUCAUAUCGACGGAGCGGUUUGGCACCUCGAUGUCGGCUCGUCACAUCCUGGGGCUGGAGAAGGUCCCAAGGGUUGGGCUGUUCGCCCAUUAAAGUGGCACGCGAGCUGGGUUCAGAACGUCGUGAGACAGUUCGGUCCCUAUCUGUUGUGGGCGUUGGAAAUUUGCGAGGAUCUGACUCUAGUACGAGAGGACCGGGUUGGACUAACCUCUAGUGUAUCUGUUGUGGCGCCAGCUGCAUAGCAGAGUAGCUACGUUGGGCAGGGAUAAGUGCUGAAAGCAUCUAAGCACGAAGCCUACCUCAAGAUGAGAUUUCCUUUAAGGGUCGUUAGAGACGAUAACGUUGAUAGGUUGCAGAUGUAAAGGUGGUAACAUCAAAGUCGAGCAAUACUAAUUACCCGAAAGCUUCUGAGU
This 2070-nucleotide ribosomal RNA is filed under the name Marinifilum fragile JCM 15579. RNAcentral's name for it is "bacterial LSU rRNA". It matches the Rfam family "Bacterial large subunit ribosomal RNA", at positions 824 to 2925 of the family's 2925-position model. The record is from RNAcentral. Lineage: Bacteria; Pseudomonadati; Bacteroidota; Bacteroidia; Marinilabiliales; Marinifilaceae.